GGUCGGCGCGGCCCGGCGCUGGAGCUAGGCGGCCGGACUGGCAGGGGCGGCGUGCCGCGCGGGACCCUCACUGGGGAAGGUGGGGGGUCGGGGCCGCCUCCGCCCCGGGCCGCACGUCCGAAGACCGGAGGAGGGGACUGCGCACGCCACCAAGAGGGCGCACAGCCGAGGCUGGACGAUGCGCGGUUUCGGAGCAGGGUUUCCUGCCCAGGGAGCCCGGCUGCGCUCGAGGGGACCCCGAAGUCACCGGCAGGGUCGGAGCUCGGUGCACCACGCCCCCCCUCUGCGCCCGGGGCCUCUGCGGGGACAGAGGUCUCAGGAAAGUAGCCUUUAUUUAUGUGGCACCGAUCGGAACCCGCGGCCGGCCAGGCGGACCUGGACGGAGCGUCCCUGCUCGGAACCUGGCGCGGGGCGCCGCGCGCUCGUGUGGCGCCUCGGCCUCCCCACCGUUCAGUCCCCGGAGGCACGGAGCUCGCGGCGGGACGAUGACGGUUGGGCCGGGCCAGGCGUGGGAGACUCCCAGACUCCGGCCCGCCGGGACGGCCAGCUGCGUCACCUUGGACGUGGGCAAUACUUCGGAGCCUCGGUUAUGUCGCCUGUAACCUGAGGACAACGGCCUGGAAGGGGCUCAGGUGACACGGCGGCCCUCACUGGGGCCGAUUUAGCCGGUCUGCCGCCCCUCCGCGCCGGACCGCCAGGCGGGGUACCAGGGAAACUGCGAUGCGCCGGCUUGCGAGCCCACCGUGACGCAGAG
This 754-nucleotide long non-coding RNA is filed under the name Homo sapiens (human). RNAcentral's name for it is "non-protein coding lnc-UBAC2-6:3". Lineage: Eukaryota; Metazoa; Chordata; Mammalia; Primates; Hominidae. The record is from RNAcentral.